CUCAGCUGCGCUGGAAGGCAUGAAUGGAGGAUAGCCUUGAUCCUCAGGAUACCAGGAGAAGGAACUGCUACAGUAACAUCACACRCUUUGAGGACAGGAAAAGAAGUAGUAGUAUCCAGGAAUUUCCUACUGUCUGCCGCUUGGGACAUAUAAUACUUCUGGGACUGCUUCUUAAAGGAGUAUAGAACAGUAUUUUCCAGGCUGUUACAGUAUGUUUGGAUCCAUGGGAGAACAGAUGGGACAGCAUGCAGAACUCGGAGGUCGUCAUUCUUGUGGACAGCCUACAAUGAAACACAAGCCAAUGUUCUAGGUAAUAGGGAGACUCUUCUG
This 330-nucleotide long non-coding RNA is filed under the name Dromaius novaehollandiae (emu). RNAcentral describes it as "lncRNA (ENSDNVG00000010119.1)". Lineage: Eukaryota; Metazoa; Chordata; Aves; Casuariiformes; Dromaiidae. The record is from RNAcentral.